CGGGUGAGUAAUGUAUGGGGAUCUGCCUGAUGGCGGGGGAUAACUACUGGAAACGGUAGCUAAUACCGCAUAACGUCGCAAGACCAAAGAGGGGGACCUUCGGGCCUCUUGCCAUCGGAUGUGCCCAGAUGGGAUUAGCUAGUAGGUGGGGUAACGGCUCACCUAGGCGACGAUCCCUAGCUGGUCUGAGAGGAUGAUCAGCCACACUGGGACUGAGACACGGCCCAG
Molecule: ribosomal RNA, 228 nt
Filed under: uncultured bacterium
Lineage: Bacteria
Description: partial 16S ribosomal RNA
Rfam family: Bacterial small subunit ribosomal RNA
Source: RNAcentral